CAACGUUCCAUUGAGGCGAGCGCGUGCUCGGGCGAGCACAUGGGCAGCGGGGCCCGCUCCGCUCAGCGCCCGCCGCUCCGCCCGGCCCGGCCCGGCCCGGCCCCGACCCCUGCCCGCAGCGGGGCCACGGUGAGUACCGGGGCCGCAGCGAGGCGGCGGGGCGCGGGGACAGGGGGUCCCAAGCCCAUGUGUCCCACUUGUCUGGAAGAACAUUUGGAGUCUGGCAGCCUGGUCCUUUUCAUAGCUCCAGAGGAUUUUUAGGAGCAUAGGGAGCAUGGGAUGCAUGGACCUGAGGACCCACAAAACCUUCUGGAGAAUGUUCGCUGUGGAUAAAAGCAUCUGGAAGUUUCUACCAUCUUUUUACCCUGAUUUUUCCUGGGUCACCCUGUGUCAUUUGUGGCCCUGAGGAUUAUAGCACACAGUCACUUACUGGAAUACCUCCCCAUGCAUCUUCUUGAAAUGGAGCCACUGCUUUACCCAGCUGGCAGAUAUUUUCUCCUCUCCCAGAGCUUUUCCAGUGCAGCAGCAGCAGUCCUGUCCAGCAGGUCUCGAUUGACUGCAGAAAGGAGAAGGGAGGAGCAUGUCAAAGGGAGGUCAGAUCCUGCCAGGGUUUCCUGGCAAAUGAGAUUUUCUAAGUAUGGAAGCUCUCCUGAGGAGCUGCAUUAUGUGCUGCAGCCCCUGGGAUGGGAUGCAAUGCAAGGAGUGAAGAAGAGCUGCAAUGUACCACUGUUUUUGUGAGGAGAGGGGCUUUCUGGCAUGUCAUAUGGUGCCAAAAGACAUUUUACUCUUGGCAGCAAAAAUCCUUAUCCUUCUUGGUUUUUUUUUUUCCGGGACAGAUGCUAUUUCCUGUUAGAGAUGCUUUGUAUGCAAAUCAAGGUGGUACAACAAGAAAAAAGUCCUGAAAGCAAUCACACCGAUAAACUCAGCCCACUGGGGAAUUCCUGCUUAUCAUUUAUCUUUUGUUUUUUCAGUUCUGUACAAGAUACUUCUUUGCCUGUGCUUUCUUACAGUCUUUAAUGUUUGUCCUGCCCUACCUCUUGCUUGUGAGCUACAGUGCUUGCAUUUUGCAAGGCUCCAUGUCAGUCUGCACAAACAAAAGGCAGUAAGUGCUGGAAAUUGGGGUUAACAGUCCCUGUGUUUCAGCUUGAUCUUGCAUUGAUCUGGUGCUUUCUUAAGUUCAAACCAGAUGUGAGCCUCACACUACAGAUUGCCACAUGGCUAUAGUGAUGAUCUACUGGAAAGGUGAUCCCAGAAACCUCAGGAAUGAAAAAAAAAGAGAUAAAAAGCAAAAAGAAGCCAGCAAAAAGUUUACCUAGUAACUUAAACAGGAGUAGGAUUUGACUUGAGGCACCUCAAGAGAUGGUGUGGGCAGCACUGCACUAAUACAGUAACAUGAGUAUGCAGUAAUAUGAGUUGAUCACCUCAGUGCUCCAGCAGAGCAAACUCACAUAGAAUCACAGACUGGUUUGGGUGGGAAGGGACUGUAAAGAUCAUCUAGUUGAACUCCCUUGCCAUGGGCAGGGAGGCCUUCUGUCAGGUUUUUCGGGGCCCCUUCCAACCUGGCCUUCAACACUUCCAGGGGUUGGGCAUCCACAACUUCCCUGGGCAUCUGCUCAGCCUGUGCCCUACAGGUGUCCCUAUAAGUGGAUGGGGCUGAUCAAAACCUGCAAAACCAGGCUGCCACCCUGCUGAUGUUACAGCAGGCUGUGAGGGUGAAAAAA
RNAcentral lists this long non-coding RNA (1721 nucleotides) under Zonotrichia albicollis (white-throated sparrow). RNAcentral describes it as "lncRNA (ENSZALG00000014525.1)". Lineage: Eukaryota; Metazoa; Chordata; Aves; Passeriformes; Passerellidae. The record is from RNAcentral.